This 77-nucleotide transfer RNA is filed under the name Verrucomicrobiia bacterium. RNAcentral describes it as "tRNA-His". It matches the Rfam family "tRNA". From Rfam's summary of the family: Transfer RNA (tRNA) molecules are approximately 80 nucleotides in length. Lineage: Bacteria; Pseudomonadati; Verrucomicrobiota; Verrucomicrobiia. The record is from RNAcentral.
GUGGCUAUAGCUCAGUUGGUUAGAGCACUGGAUUGUGGUUCCAGGGGUCGCCGGUUCAAAUCCGGUUAGCCACCCCA